CGGGAGGCAGCAGUGGGGAAUAUUGCACAAUGGGCGCAAGCCUGAUGCAGCCAUGCCGCGUGUGUGAAGAAGGCCUUCGGGUUGUAAAGCACUUUCAGUCGUGAGGAAGGUGGUGGUGUUAAUAGCACUAUCAUUUGACGUUAGCGACAGAAGAAGCACCGGCUAACUCCGUGCCAGCAGCCGCGGUAAUACGGAGGGUGCGAGCGUUAAUCGGAAUUACUGGGCGUAAAGCGCAUGCAGGUGGUUUGUUAAGUCAGAUGUGAAAGCCCGGGGCUCAACCUCGGAAUUGCAUUUGAAACUGGCAGACUAGAGUACUGUAGAGGGGGGUAGAAUUUCAGGUGUAGCGGUGAAAUGCGUAGAGAUCUGAAGGAAUACCGGUGGCGAAGGCGGCCCCCUGGACAGAUACUGACACUCA
RNAcentral lists this ribosomal RNA (415 nucleotides) under Vibrio sp. Vpar74. RNAcentral's name for it is "bacterial SSU rRNA". It matches the Rfam family "Bacterial small subunit ribosomal RNA", at positions 342 to 749 of the family's 1533-position model. Lineage: Bacteria; Pseudomonadati; Pseudomonadota; Gammaproteobacteria; Vibrionales; Vibrionaceae. The record is from RNAcentral.